This is an RNA transcript of Erigeron canadensis, 3090 nucleotides long. RefSeq lists it as uncharacterized. Lineage: Eukaryota; Viridiplantae; Streptophyta; Magnoliopsida; Asterales; Asteraceae. The record is from RefSeq and is a predicted model, not a curated record. The transcript is spliced from 2 exons.
UCCGAAUCAAUACCCAGGUAUUCAAUUUCUUUCAUUAAUUAUAUAUUUAUAAAUAUAAAUAUUAAUACAUUCACUUUUUGCUAUUAUACAGUAAUAAUUGAUUAAAUAAUACUCCAGUGAUUAGGGUUUUUUUGUAAUUUUUUUUUUCCCAAAGAAAGAUGAAGAUUUAGGUUAAUAAAUUAAAGGGUAUGUAGUGUUUUAAGUAAAUGAUAAGAAUGGAUACUCAUGCUACUACAGCAAUAUUACAUUAUGUUCAAAGUGUAUGGCCUUUUUCGAGAAUUCGAUAUGAUGAUUUGAAAGUUUCUGAUUCUUUAGUUAAGGGUUUGGAUUUACCCGAUGAGACCAAACGGUUUGUUUUUGCGAUUAAGGAACCCGAAUCACAGGCUGUUAUUUAUAUACUAUGUGCCCAGAAUUUGUCUGAGAGAUCGGCAGUUGAUGCCGAACGUCUUAUUAGAUGUGUUAGGCCGGAUGCCGUUGUGGGUCAGGUGAAUGAGUUUGAGUUUAACUUUGGCGAUGGUUUAGCGUUGGGUGAUAAUGGUGGUGUUGAUUGUACGGUUCCCACUUCUUCGUUUGGUGUACUUAAGAGAUGUUUUUUGCAUAAGAUUUGUAAAGAUAAGUAUGAGGAUGUGGCUGGGAGUUUGGUUUUGAAAGAGAUUUUUGGUGUUGGUUUUAAUGGGCAUUUUUUGUCUGCAAAAAAGGCAGCCGAAGAAGUUGGUUCUUCGUUUUUGUUGCUUGAAUCGUCUAAUGUGAAUAUAGAAAGUAAGGGUAGUCCCUCGAGUGAGGUUGAAUUAGGUAACGGUUUUCAAGGUUUUAGUGUACAGCCUAAUAAUUUACUGCCACAAAACGUGAGCUCUAAUGUUCCGUCAGGGGCAAGUAGAUAUCUUAUUUCAGAUGAUUAUAUGCGUGCUCAGAUGUUGAAAUCUUUACGCUCUUAUAUGGUUCAAGUAAGUUCUAAUGUGAAUACGGGUCCAGUGAAUGUUGAACCAAAAGAGGAUUAUGAGGUCCCACAGUAUGCUCGUGCUAUUUAUCCUUUGCUUGAAGAUCUGUAUGUCAUAUUUCAUGAAAUACCAUCCAUGGGAAGGGCUUUAGCUAACGCACAAAAGAUGUUUCAUGAUGUUAGCAAGGGAGACAACAUUGAUACUCAUAUACUCUCAGAAGUAUAUGCAUUUCGAAUAGCGGUUGAGGGGUUAAGGAUUGUUCUUAAUAGUGCUGGUCGGAUGCCUAUUAGCAAAACAGGAAACCGUCAAUCAUCUACUGUAGAAUUCUCUGAUCUGCCUAACGAAGAGAAAUCACAUGCUCUUCUUGCAAAUGUACUUCGUAGUCAAACAAAUAACUUUAAGUCAAUAGUUGCAGUGUUAGAUGCUAGUACUUUAGCCGGUAUAAGGAAACACUGGAACACUGUAGUUCCUCCGAAUAUGAAGGAUAUAGUUGAAGAAAUGGUUGCUGAGUCGACAAAAGAUGGUAUAACUACCAAUCACCGUGACAAAAAACGAAGGUUGACAGAUAAACCAGUGGUGGCAGUGGGGGCGGGAGCAACAGCAGUAUUAGGAGUUUCCUCUCUUUCAAAAGCUGUUCCAGCAUCAACUUUUAUGAAAGUUGUUACCUUCAAAGUUCCUGUAUCUUUGAAACUGAUGAUGACACAAACCCAAAAACUCGUUUCUAUAUCACUUACCAAGAUUCUUGGUCCAGCAAAAGUCGUAGCACCGGGUAUGUUCAAUUCUGGAGUACAUUCUGCAUCUUCCUUGAAAGCAGCCGCAUCUGCAGAGAAGAUAAGAGCUAUUGUUCAUAGUGUCAUUGCAUCUGCUGAGAAAACAAGUCUUUCAGCAAUGAGAGGAGCUUUCUAUGAAAUAAUGUGGAAACGUCGCCGGGUUAGGCCAAUUGGGGUUCUUCCAUGGGCUACAUUUGGAUGCAGUGUGGCUACUUGCUCAAGCCUGCUUGUUUAUGGUGAUGGUAUUGAAUGCGUAGUUGAAUCGAUUCCUUCAGCACCUUCAAUUGCGAGUCUGGGUCGAGGGAUUAAAAGUUUACAGCAAACAUCAGUAGUUGUUUCACAAAUGGAAAGCUCGAGGAUACAAAAGACUAUCGACUCGCUUGUCAACAGGUUCAAGAAAUGGAAAACUUCCCCAUGAUGUGUGAGUUUUCAUCUUUCUCCUCUGUUAAAACAAGCUAUGCAUUCUCAUACUGUGUAGAUGAAAAGAUCAUAAUAGUUGGUUUAUCGCCUUUUGUACAUUGCUUAAAUUGGUUUUUGAUAGGAUGUGAAAACAAGAGAUGGUUGGUUUAGAAGAAUUAUGUUUUAGAGAGCUGAUUUCGGUAUAUCAUGCUCAUAAUGAUGCAUAAAGUUGAUCAUCUCCAAGGUAGCUAGUGGUAGGAGACCUUAAAGUCUCAGAAGAGACAAGGGUUGAAACCUUCCUGAGCAAAACUUUGGAAUGGCCUCCAGUCAAAAAAUCGUUCAUGGGAAUACUAGUUAGGCCGCGCGCAUCAGAGACAAAAGCUCGACACUCCCCGGGAUGCAACAAAUGAGAUUUGCCACUUUGGAUUCACAUAGGCAAUUAGGCAGGUUAGAUAACUACAACCAGCCCCCUUUUCAGAGUUCCUAAAAUGCGAGGUAGGUGUGGGAGCUGGUGAGCUGGUUAUAAUGUGAAGAAAUAACACACAGCAGGAAAUUGUGUUUAUUGCUCUAUGCACAACUAUAUUAUCCAAUGCUACUGGCACUAAGGCUCCCAAACUUUCUGCAGAUGAUUGACUAACAGAAGAGAACACAAUCUUAUCAGAGAGGCCCUGUCCACUUUUUGUUUAUCACUUUUAUUGGGAUGUUUAUAUUGAUGCAUAACAUCUUGUACUGAAGGUUUAAAAAGCCAUAAACAUAAAGAAGUCCUAACUCACUUGAUGAACAAGAUCAUUGGUCUCAAUUGUUACAUGCUCAAAUAAUUCUGAUGGGCUACACCAGCUGUAUGAGCAAGAUGCAUUGGUCUCAAUUGUUACAUGCUCUUUACUUUCAUGCCAAUUACAAAGUGUUAGUUCUGUUUAACUUUUUUUUUUUUAAGAACGGUAUCCUAUUCCUAUUCCUAAAUUACAUGCAUGUAUAGGAUACAA